Grus americana (Whooping crane) is the source of this 8836-nucleotide long non-coding RNA. RefSeq lists it as uncharacterized. NCBI's taxonomy places the organism in Eukaryota, Metazoa, Chordata, Aves, Gruiformes, Gruidae. The transcript is spliced from 3 exons. The record is from RefSeq and is a predicted model, not a curated record.
UCUUAGUGCUCGCCGGACAAAAAGAGAUUUUUUUUAAUAGUGCCCAGUUGCGACACUUUUAAUCGUGUGUUUCUGUGGUGGUAAUGAGGAAGGACAUGACUUACUACCAAGCUCACUGAGGACCUGAGCACGUUGGUGAUCUAUGCAGAUAUUAUGCCAGCACAUGAGGAGGAAUAACACACUGUAAGCAGGCUGAAGGUGAGGAUUAAUGGUCAUAGGCUGGUGUGGAAAUGAAGAAGUUGGAAAUGAUUUCUCUCUUCUCAUGUGUUCAUUUCACUAGAUGUAUGAGGUAAGCUGACAGAAAUAUUUGCCCCACAGAUCAUUUGGAGAAUCUAGCACGGCACACAAUCUCCAAGACAGGAGACGCAACAGGAGCUUUCCUGGGGCUUCAAACACAAGGCACAGAUUUUUGUUACAAGACAUUAUUGCAUGAGUACAUCCAAAAGAAACUGAACUAAAACCUACAGAAUAACUCACACUAAGCAAUUGGAAAUAUCAAUAAUUUCCUAGCUGCAUUUAACACACAUGCUGGCUAUUAAUAUCGAGUCAUAGUGGUUUCUCUUAUGAAAAAGAUUUAGUUCUCUCAGAGUUUAUUAUUAUAACUAUUGUCAGAAGAACACUUUAAAAGAAAUUCCACUGAUUUUAUCUUUUCUAUGAGGCAAGGACCAUCUCUUCUUAUGCACCUACAAAUUAUAUGGCAAACUGGGGACAGUCUCCCCAGCACAGAGGGGUAAGUAGUACAGCUAACAACUGCAGCAUUUGAUUGAUAUCCUCACUUCCUACAGCAAAGAUUUUGGUGUCUCCUCCCCUCCCCCCGGCUUUUCUCCUGUUGUAAGCCCUGCAGCUGAACUGAGCAGCACGGUGAACCUGCAGAAUCAACGCUGGCAGCUCGUUGAGGUUAAACAUGAUAAUUCAAAACCAAUGAGAUGGUACCCAGGAAGGACAGAGGGAUGUGAAGUGAAGAUGUGGAAUCAGCUGUGAUGGCCAAGUGUCCUUUAACUCAUUCUACAGCAUGUCUUGCACCACUCUCAUGCAACAGUAGUACCUGCUUCACAGUUCAUCUCGCUGAAGCGCAAGCCAGGGUGAAGGGAAACUUUUUCUAGCAUCAGCAGCUCCUGUGGACAGGCCAUUCCACUCUGCCCUGAGGCCUCCUGGUGCUCCUGUAACCCGCUGGAGGACAACAGAGUUUCCUCAGCAGGUCUCACCCCUUCUCUCAUGUCAACAUCCAUUCACUCCAUACCAGAUCAGGAGCCACUGCGUGUGCCCUAAGAAACACUCCGAUGCUUGGCUAUUAUUUGAUCCUGCCCAAACUAGCAAUGCAUACUUGCACUUAGCUAUACUGUUCCUCUAACAUACCUCUGAAUUUAUGAAAAAUUCAAAAUUUUGAGGCUUCAGAAUGAUACAAAUAGGUAAUCUCCUUUUAAUUCCUCCUCGCCUACUCCUCCACAAAUACCAAAAGUGUGCGGCUCCCAUAGCUUCUUAAGAUAAAAAGUAUUAUUGACCUUUCUGCUAUCUCUAGAUUCCUUUCCUCUCUUUUCUCUCACAGGUUUUCUGGCUUUCAGACUUGGAAAGUAGCUUACCAAAACAAACACUGUAUGAAUGCUGAGAGAACAGCAUCUGAUUAAGUGUUGGAUGCUCAUUGUAGCCUUAUUUUAUUUCUAUUUUCAAACAGUAAAACAGAAUAAGCUCCAUUAAAAGUUUGACCUUUGAAAGCCACAAUACUUGACUUAUCUUGAGAGAACACUUCCACCAUAGCAAGGCUUAUUUGCCAGUGCAUGAGUUGCUCAGAGCAGAUGACAUCAAUAGGUUGCUCUGAGCAUUUUAAGUACAAUUCAAAGAAAAAAGCAUCUUAAACUCUACAAUGCUUGGUCACAUUUUGAAGUAGAUUUCUCAAAUAUUCUGAAAAGUUGACUGAAGUCCUUCAGAAUAAUUUAUGUAACUGAAAGUCUUAAAUUGAGCUGGUAGAUGCCAAAUACUCUACUGAAAUACUUGAUAAAGGAAACGAUCUAUACUGCUGACCAUCAUCAGGGAGCAUGUAAGUUAUGCUCCAGAUUAAAAAAAAAAUUAAGUUCAAGGUGAACAUUUUACAGUAAGGUGUGUUAAAAACCACAUGUUAAGUCAACACAAGGUUUGUUAAACUUUGUUGCUCUUUGGCUUCACAGUCUCUGCUUUCCUCCAACACUGAAGUACUGAGGGCUGGCUGUGCGCAGGGUACCUUCACAGCCUCCUCAGAAAACUUACACAAACAUCCUCUCAUGAAAUUUCAGGCUUUUAAUCUUACUCCACACACUUCUGAAGGUUUUGAUAUGGCCUAUGUGGUCUAUAACUAAUUUAUUCUCAUUAUACGUCCAUUGUCAGUCUACCUGAGCAGUGGUAAGGAAAAUAACGUGCUGUAGCACUGCAGAGAUCUUGUCAAUUAAAUGCAGAGAACGCUUCAGUAUCUGUACACACAGCCGUACUGUCGAACUGAAAGUACACAGAAACCGUUAGGAAUAUGCCAUACUGCCUGUGUGUACCAUUACUCUGUAAAAUACUUCAAUAUUGCAGUAAUAUCUGCCAGCUGCAACUCACUGUUCUUCACAUCAAAUCAAAUGGCAUAAGUGUGUGGAGCCAGGACCGGUGUCAGCUAUUAUGUGGCAGUUUUUCCUAAGGGGACGUGCUGACAGACAAUCAAAACUUUUCUUUAAUAUUUCUUAUUGUGUUUCUGCUAGUGAGACUACCUGUCAUGUAGCAAUCAUUCCUUGCUUGUGACAGAGAAACAAAAACAGAAGACAAAAGCACUUGGAUACCCAUCUCAAAUGUUUGGAUUCGAUGAAGUUUGUUCAUGUUUGGGUUAGGCUUUGAACAGCGGUAUGCCACGGUGUGGUUGUGGACUUCGGUUAGUAGUUUUGGGGAAUGUCAGAUACCCUUAACUGAAAAUCCAAGACUCCCUUGCAAAAACCUGGCUCUUCACAUACACGCAAACUCUCCUAACACAUCACGCUGACUACGGUGGAAGGAUGCCACAGAUGGAAGCGUUCAGCCUGGAUGGGCUGAGCAUGCAAAAUCUGGAUUUUAUUUGAACUACCAUUGCAGGGCAGUGAAAUGUGAUAACAAAUACUUGUCAUACCACAUUGGUCAAAGUCUCGGCUUCUCUGUUAUAACAGCGAAAGUAAAAGCAAACAAGCAAACAAAACUCCCAAGCUCAAAGGAAUCCUUCCCAAACGGUAAGUGUGGUGUACCAUGUUGUGGUACAGAGGAUUUAGCACUGCUAUGUCAGCAUUACAGACUGACUGCCUUUGUCCUGAACACUGGCUAGGGUAAACUUUAUAUCAUUAAACUGAUGCAUGGUAUUUGGUGUAGCCAAUUGUGGUCACAGUGUAAAUCAGGAAUUUUGUAGCUUGAGAACCUCAGAUCUACGCUCUGUGCUUUAACAAAAUACAAUUUCCUGUGCAGAUUCUGCUACGCAAGUCGAUUAUUCUUACCAGAACUGCUAACAUUCAUAUUUCUUUCAACCAAAGUAUUUUCAAAUCAAAGCCACAAUGGUAACUGUCUAACACGGCAUACACAUUACACUGGAUAAUGAAUCCCUUUCUAGUUCAUGCAGUAAAAUCACCUAUUCUUGGCCAGCGUUUCAUUGCCUGUGCCUCCAACAUUUUUCCUCCUCAUUCCCCUACAUAUCUCUAUACAUCCAUUCUUUUCUGUCUCUUCUCUGACUGUGUAUUCCCUCUUUCAGUUUUCCAAUGCUAUCCAUGUUUUGCUUCCCUCAGCCAAUGUUUUCCACCCAAAAAAAAGGGGGUCCUAGUGCUUGUUCCUUUCUGUGCACCAUAGUCUCGGGUCAACUGUAGCACCUUCCUUUGCCCAGGAAUUGCCAGGGAGACAGCUGGGAAGACCAGACCCUUUGAAACCACCACAGAAAAGGCCAAAAGAAAGCAAGAAAACCAGUACAGGUGGGAGCAGCAAGUGGGGCUCACACCCCAGUUUGGGAAUGCAGGUGGGCAGACAAUGCUUGCUGUACGAAGCUGGAAACAAUGGAACUGAUGGAUGGGAGGAUUAGGCUGGAUGAGUAGAAAGGAAGGGCACUGCGCAGAAACGGACAGAAGAAAAAAUACAUCAAAGGGCUCAAGUAAGCAGUAAGACAUUUUAGGAUUAAGCUUUGCUGAUCCAAACCUCUAAACUACUGGAGGUUCACCCACCACUAAUCUUGUCCCCCUUCAUUUAUGAGAAAACAUGACCAAAUAUAAUCAGUUACAGGAUUCUGGGAUACGGUUAUAUCAAAUUAUAUCUCCUGUAACAAGAUGCAGUGCAGUGGCAUGGCCUGCAUUUCAGCUGUAGUAGCAGUCAGCUUUUUCCCUUAGAUGUCACAUCUUACUGUAAUUUACUAUCUGGAAGACUUGUAAUUAAAACCAUAUGCCUCACUUUUUUUGUGCACAUAAGGGGACCCACAUUUCUAUAAACUUUGCCAAUUGUAAACUCAUCUCUCUCUCUCCACUAACCUGUGGCCCAACUGCGUGUAAUAAGAGUAAUUUGGAGAAUGAUAUUUGGUUACACUCUAUUGCUGCAAAUUGCUGCUUUCCUCUAAUGGCCUGAAAAGUACAGAGCUAAACCAGUUAAUCUGAAAUAAGCUAAAACUGAAAGCUACGUUUUAGGAACAAGCGAUUAUAUUCUUCUAAUUAAUGCAACAUCACUUUGCAGUAGCUUAUAUGCCUUUUCUAAUAGCAAGGGUACAUUUUAGGACAGAUACCCAUCUCUUUGGUGAUGCAGAGUGGAUGUAAACCUGUCACACCUGAGAAACUUUGAUACAGACAAAACCCUAGCGGGAAUAACGCUGACAUACCUGGCUGCAUGCCGCCCUCCUGCCCACAGGUACAUCACAUGCAGAACUGCUACUGGAGUAGACCGAAAGAUGUAUCUGAAAUAUUACUGCAUUUUGGCUGCUGUCAGCUACCCUCCUCAGUGCCCGUACCCGUCCCAGUCCUGAGCAGCCUCAGGGACAGGCGAUACAGAAGCGAUGGGUACAGCCCUGCCCCCCCCCAGGCACUGGGACCAGGACCAGCUCUUCAUGGCCUUCGUGUUAAAAAGGCACGAAACCCCUCAGAAGGGGUCAUACUUUAUCUGUCAUUCAUUGGACUGUACCCAUGAUUUGGGCAUUUUUUUUUUUUUUCCAUGUUAAAUGACAGUCUGGAUAGCUGAAUUUUUGGCUGUUUUUUGGUCACCUGCAGACUUGUUCACAUUCUGGCACUGUAGCUUUGCAUCCCAUCCCUGGAACAGGAGCAGAGAGCUGCCAGACAGGGCGGUGCAGGACAGAGAUACUGCAGGAAUGAAGGCUAGACACCACGAUUCAACACACUUUGAUUCAUUGCUGUGGAUAACUCCAUCUCUCAUCUUUGGACAGCUUUCUCCCAGAUAUCUCAAUAAAGACAGGCCGCAUACACAGAGAUUUUUACCAUACUGUCUGUCUCAAUCUCUCUCAUCAAUAGAUACACGAGAUGAUAGCCCUACAAAUAUCAGAGCUAAACCUUCUGGUUACAGCACAAGGGUCAAUUGUUCAGUUAAUGUAACCAAACUCCACUGACUUCAGUUGAAAGACACCCAUCUAUCAGUGGAGAAUCUUUUCCCUUCCAGCUUUUUGCCUCCUCCCUGUCCAAAAAGCCCUAACAACACACAAAACCAGGACAAUUUUUCAAGAUGCUGUUCACAAGUAUAUUUACUGGAAAUAUUCCUGGUUUGAAGAGAUUUGAAACAUCAGCAUUGCCGUUCAUCUAUUCAUAUCAGUACUGAAGUUUCACGCACAAAUGCAAGGGGCUUUAUAAGAAAACAUUACUUGUCCCUUACUUUUUGUUUUCUUUAUUUCACCACAGCACCCACUCCUACUGCACCCUACUCCUCCUUUUCCCCUCAAUACCAAGGGCACAUUAACCUGGCUUUAAUCAUUCACUAAUGCGAAAACAUCAUCAUGGCACUUUCUGUCCUCAAGUCAUAUUGUGAGUUUAAUGCAUAUUUCUACUAAACUGUUGGAUCUAUAGAAAUCAAUCAACUAAAUACUUAUUUGUUGUCAUAAAAAAAAUUCUCUACCUUGAAACACUAAGAUUCACUUUUUAUCUACAUAUUACAGUUUUAGUUUGGUCAUUCAUUUUAAGUAAGAAAAAAAAUUGGAGGGACAAGACCAGCUCCAUGAAGUGCUUGAACAAAAAAAAAAUUUUGGAAUAGAAUCUAAGGAGUGUCCAAUCACUGCAUUGUCAGAUUAUUUAAUUCAAGAAAUAUUGACGUUUUCACUUUCAAAAUAUCAUUUUUAUUGCUUAAAAAAGGUUCCAAAUUAAAACUUUAAUGGUAAAACAUGAGUAUGUAACAAAAUGCCCAACAAAACAUUUUUUUCUGGGGGAAAAAGAUUUUUCUCUCUUACGCAUAUCCUAUAACCUUUAAAGGGGAAAAAUCCAGUGUUGUUUUCAUUACAACAUUCUCUCUUCACCCCUGCCCCCCCAAAAAAAAAUCAUCUGAUAUGGCUGUAUUUACUCAGCACUACUUUUAAAAUACCUCCAAGAGUCACAGUUAAUGCUGACACACGAGGCAUGCACUAACCUGUGAUGGCAUUUGUAUGACAGCUGAAUUUGCACGAGUGAUGAACAAGGACAAGUUGAAAAAAUACAGCUACCAGUACAGAGAAAAAAAAUCAUAAUAUGACCACAUAAAACUAAAAUGAAAAGUGGUUUUACUUAUUCUCUUUUCUUACUCAAAAAGUGGCUGUAAGGAAAGAGUAUUACAAAAUUUUGUCUUUCAGGGUGAGAUGUGCUUAGUAGCACUAUCCUUCAUAAUUCCAAACAAAACCGUUCCUGUAUGCCAUUCCUCAUCCCACUUCAUCUUCUGCCUGACUAGGUGGAGCUGACUGCUAAAGGGCAGUGACCAGUCACCAGGGUUUUGCUCUAGACAACAGAAAACAGCAUAUGUACACACACACAUCUAUAUAUAUAUAAACGUGUAUAUACACACAAACGGUGCAUUAUCAUAGGUAACUGUAUUUGAUCCACAUUUAGUAUCUGCCUGCCUAGAUCCCAGUAAUAGACAUCCACAGUUUUUGAUAAAAGUUCAGUUACUGCUCUGAAAUUAUAACCCACUGCAGCCAUGUGUUUUGUCCUGAACAGAAUAUGAAUUUGGACAAAAAUUGUAAAAUAUGGUGCUAUUUAGGGGAUAUUCCCUAUAGAAAACUUUCUGCAUCGUGUUGGGUAAACGUUCAUGCAGAGCAUUACUGCUGACGGACAUUGACUCUCAUCAGCCAUGCCAGAACCUGGAAACCUGUUAUCCUCCUUGCUUUACUGAAAAGAUAAUAUAAUUUGAUGUGUUUCAGGGAGCUUUGCUGAUGCACUCUGCACUCCAAUCUCACAAAAAAUGUUGUACUAACCUGCCUUGCACAACAGCAGAUGACCUUUGCCAGGAGAAUGUCACCUCUGAAACUGCUUCUAAGUGUGAUGACAGCAGUUUGCCAUUUUUAAGAGCACAGCAUCUCGAGCCCAUGAUGGUAAGAGCUGGCUGUGAGGUUAGACUGUCUUUUCUGGAUUUUUUUUUUCCUUCCUUUUAUAUGAACCUCCACAAAGCACCCCAAAAUGAAGACAUCACCCAAAAAAGGGAAGGCUGAGCAGCAGAUUAAGAAACAGGCUUCUAUAAGUCUCCAGACAAAAAGUUUUUCCCCUCCUCUUUGCCUUUUUUAGUAUCUCUUUGAUAAUAACAGUUGUACCAUAUGUUUGGGUGCAUUUUUAAAUUAUAACAAGAGAAGUCCAGGUUACAAUUUCAGUGAACUAAUCUGAUGGCAGUUAGGUCCCUCUUUCCCCCUUUUUUCUCCUGGAUAUUCAUCUUACAUUGGAUUGCAGUUUCAGACCUGCAUUCAGAUGAGCACAGCAAUAUUAUUUUAAAGUUAUUGAUUCAAAAGAUGGCAAGGGAGAAAUUCUGGGUUGUUAUGCCAAAAGCACCUGAAAUGAGAAACCUGUCACAAGGAAAAGGAGUAUCUUGUGCUGAAGAAGGAUCAGAGCCUGAGAGAGUCACGCAACAGAUGUGCAAGAACUGCAGCCAGAGACAUCCUGACAACCGUGCCAUUAAAGGUGUCAUUGCAGAAUGAGGAUCUGUCUUAAUGCUGGAAGUUUUGGAGAAGUGGAAAUACACAGGCCCAGGUGUACAAUCAAGAGUCUUUAAAGCAGCUGUUGACUAAUUUGUACAAUUUAAGUUGUCUUACAUGUCACAAUAUGUACCCAGCCUUGUACUUAGAACGUGGCACUGAACGUAUCGUGUGCUUGAUGUUGCAUAGCGGGUCUUAACAUCGUUUGGAUAAUACAAAGUCAAAACAGUCAGCUUCGUUAAGGAUCCUCAAUAAAGUAACCCUCAGAGGUACUGGGACUUAGUUACAUGCUCUUACAACAUAUCAGAGAGAAUGUGCUCCUUCAGGGGACAGCAGAUGGUGGGUUCCUUUUUUUGGAGUGGACACCUGGGAUCGCCCCAACACGUGUGGCAUCCACACCUUCCUCUGGGCAAUCUCACUUCUGGACUUACCAAUUACAUUGCAUUUUACACCCCCCUGAGGACUGUGUUAGUACUUUUAUUGUGUUAGAUGCUAUUCAUAUAUGUGGAGAAAGGACAAAGACAACACAAAACCUAAGCCCCCAUAAAGACACAUAGUCACGGUACAGCACUGUCACAGUUCAAUACACUAAAAUCUUAAAAAGGAUGGUAAAGAGCUCAUUAGAGAGCAGGACUCAGCUCUGUGCCUUGAAAUACAUCAAAAACUAUAUGUUUAUUAGUUUAGAAUAAAAGUUACUUUAAAAUAGACAAACUAUCAGCAUCAGAAGAUUUUGUGUUCUAUUUGAGCAGUGAA